GAUGAAGAACGUAGCGAAUUGCGAUAAGUAGUGUGAAUUGCAGAAUUCAGUGAAUCAUCGAAUCUUUGAACGCACAUUGCGCCCCUUGGUAUCCCGAGGGGCAUGCCUGUUCGAGCGUCAUUUCACCACUCAAGCCUGGCUUGGUGUUGGGCGACGUCCUCUUUGGGGACGCGCCUCGAAACGCUCGGCGGCGUGGCACCGGCUUUAAGCGUAGCAGAAUCUUUCGCUUUGGAAGUCGGGGCCCCGUCUGCCGGAAGACCUGCUCGCAAGGUUGACCUCGGAUCAGGCAGGGAUACCCGCUGAACUUAAGCAUAUCAAUAAGCGGAGGA
Molecule: unclassified non-coding RNA, 329 nt
Filed under: soil metagenome
Description: partial contains 5.8S ribosomal RNA, internal transcribed spacer 2, and large subunit ribosomal RNA
Rfam family: 5.8S ribosomal RNA (bases 1-120)
Source: RNAcentral